UACAGAGGUCUCAAGCGUUGUUCGGAUUCAUUGGGCGUAAAGGGCGCGUAGGCGGCGGGGUAAGUCGGGUGUGAAAUCUCAGAGCUCAACUCUGAAAUGGCACUUGAUACUGCUCUGCUAGAGGACUGGAGAGGAGAUUGGAAUUCACGGUGUAGCAGUGAAAUGCGUAGAUAUCUGGAGGAACACCGGUGGCGAAGGCGGCAUCCUGGACCGACACUGACACUGAGGAGCGAAAGCCAGGGGAGCAAACGGG
RNAcentral lists this ribosomal RNA (253 nucleotides) under uncultured bacterium. Its description in RNAcentral is "partial 16S ribosomal RNA". It matches the Rfam family "Bacterial small subunit ribosomal RNA", at positions 524 to 776 of the family's 1533-position model. The record is from RNAcentral.